This is a long non-coding RNA of Aethalodelphis obliquidens (Pacific white-sided dolphin), 338 nucleotides long. RefSeq lists it as uncharacterized. NCBI's taxonomy places the organism in Eukaryota, Metazoa, Chordata, Mammalia, Artiodactyla, Delphinidae. The record is from RefSeq and is a predicted model, not a curated record. The transcript has 3 exons.
GGCUCUUUGGUGGGGCUAAAGGCGGACUCUGGGAGGGCUCAUGCCAAGGAGUACUUACCAGAACUUCUGCUGCCAGUGUCCUUGUCCCCACGAUGAAGCACAGCCACCCCCCGUCACCCCAGGAGACCCUCCAAUGCUAGCAGGUCAUGAGAUCCUUGAGAGCAGAAACCACUCUGUCAUUUCUGUAUCCUGAGCAUUUAUUUCUGCAUUCAUACAAGGAUGACAGUACCUAGUUCAUGGGUUAUUAAAUUUUACAUAUAGGGCUUCCCUGGCGGCGCAGUGGUUGGGAAGCCGCCUGCCAAUGCAGGGGACAGGGUUUGGGCCCUGGUCCGGGAGGA